RNAcentral lists this ribosomal RNA (168 nucleotides) under Templetonia sulcata. Its description in RNAcentral is "5.8S ribosomal RNA". It matches the Rfam family "5.8S ribosomal RNA". From Rfam's summary of the family: 5.8S ribosomal RNA (5.8S rRNA) is a component of the large subunit of the eukaryotic ribosome. Lineage: Eukaryota; Viridiplantae; Streptophyta; Magnoliopsida; Fabales; Fabaceae. The record is from RNAcentral.
AUCCAAAAUGACUCUCGGCAACGGAUAUCUCGGCUCUCGCAUCGAUGAAGAACGUAGCGAAAUGCGAUACUUGGUGUGAAUUGCAGAAUCCCGUGAACCAUCGAGUCUUUGAACGCAAGUUGCGCCCGAAGCCAUUAGGCCGAGGGCACGCCUGCCUGGGUGUCGCAC